RNAcentral lists this transfer RNA (73 nucleotides) under Acidobacteriota bacterium. RNAcentral describes it as "Acidobacteria bacterium (drinking water metagenome) tRNA-Lys". It matches the Rfam family "tRNA". Rfam says of the family: Transfer RNA (tRNA) molecules are approximately 80 nucleotides in length. The record is from RNAcentral. RNAcentral also lists the same sequence under 1 other name. Lineage: Bacteria; Pseudomonadati; Acidobacteriota.
GGGCCGUUAGCUCAGUCGGUAGAGCAACUGGCUUUUAACCAGUGGGUCGAUGGUUCGAGUCCAUCACGGCUCA